GAUGAAGAACGUAGUGAAAUGCGAUACGUAAUGUGAAUUGCAAAUUCAGUGAAUCAUCGAGUCUUUGAACGCACAUUGCGCCCCCUGGUAUUCCGGGGGGCAUGCCUGUUCGAGCGUCAUUUCAACCCUCAAGCUCUGCUUGGUCUUGGGCCGCGCCGGCAACGGCGGGCCUCAAAAACAGUGGCGGCGCCAUCUGGUCCCUCAGCGUAGUAAUUCUUCUCGCUGCUGGGCCCCAGUGGCCGCUUGCCAGCAACCCCAAACUUUCUAUGGUUGACCUCGGAUCAGGUAGGGAUACCCGCUGAACUUAAGCAUAUCAAUAAGCGGAGGA
RNAcentral lists this unclassified non-coding RNA (328 nucleotides) under soil metagenome. RNAcentral describes it as "partial contains 5.8S ribosomal RNA, internal transcribed spacer 2, and large subunit ribosomal RNA". The stretch from base 1 to 119 matches the Rfam family "5.8S ribosomal RNA", at positions 35 to 154 of the family's 154-position model. The record is from RNAcentral.